UGACGCGAGCUACAGGCUCAACACAUGCAAGUCGAGGGGCAGCAUGAAUAUUGGCUUGCCAAUAUUUGAUGGCGACCGGCGCACGGGUGAGUAACACGUAUCCAACCUUCCGGUUACUCGGGGAUAGGCUUUCGAAAGAAAGAUUAAUACCCGAUGUUGCGUAUCUUUCUCCUGAAAGAUACGCCAAAGGAUUCCGGUAACCGAUGGGGAUGCGUUCCAUUAGGCAGUUGGCGGGGUAACGGCCCACCAAACCUUCGAUGGAUAGGGGUUCUGAGAGGAAGGUCCCCCACAUUGGAACUGAGACACGGUCCAACUCCUACGGGAGGCACAGUGAGGAAUAUUGGGUCAAUGGGACCGGAAGUCUUGAACCAGCCCAGUUAGCCGUGAAAGGAUGACUGCCCUUCUUGGGGUUUGGAAACUUUCUUUUUAUACCGGGGAAUUACCAUUGAAGGUACC
This 456-nucleotide ribosomal RNA is filed under the name Prevotella sp. CH16.6. RNAcentral's name for it is "bacterial SSU rRNA". It matches the Rfam family "Bacterial small subunit ribosomal RNA", at positions 32 to 479 of the family's 1533-position model. The record is from RNAcentral. Lineage: Bacteria; Pseudomonadati; Bacteroidota; Bacteroidia; Bacteroidales; Prevotellaceae.